This 535-nucleotide ribosomal RNA is filed under the name uncultured bacterium. Its description in RNAcentral is "bacterial SSU rRNA". It matches the Rfam family "Bacterial small subunit ribosomal RNA", at positions 976 to 1509 of the family's 1533-position model. The record is from RNAcentral.
CGGCCUUGACAUACUAAGAACUUUCCAGAGAUGGAUUGGUGGCCUUCGGGAACUUAGAUACAGGUGCUGCAUGGCUGUCGUCAGCUCGUGUCGUGAGAUGUUGGGUUAAGUCCCGNAACGAGCGCAACCCUUUUCCUUAUUUGCCAGCGGGUCAUGCCGGGAACUUUAAGGAUACUGCCAGUGACAAACUGGAGGAAGGCGGGGACGACGUCAAGUCAUCAUGGCCCUUACGGCCAGGGCUACACACGUGCUACAAUGGUCGGUACAAAGGGUUGCUACCUCGCGAGAGGAUGCUAAUCUCAAAAAGCCGAUCGUAGUCCGGAUCGCAGUCUGCAACUCGACUGCGUGAAGUCGGAAUCGCUAGUAAUCGCGGAUCAGAAUGCCGCGGUGAAUACGUUCCCGGGCCUUGUACACACCGCCCGUCACACCAUGGGAGUUUGUUGCACCAGAAGUAGGUAGUCUAACCGCAAGGAGGACGCUUACCACGGUGUGGCCGAUGACUGGGGUGAAGUCGUAACAAGGUAGGCGUAGAUGA